GGGCCUGUAGCUCAGUAGUAGAGCGGCGCCUUUGCAAGGCGAAGGUCAGGGGUGCGAAUCCCCUCAGGUCCA
RNAcentral lists this transfer RNA (72 nucleotides) under Candidatus Magasanikiibacteriota bacterium. Its description in RNAcentral is "tRNA-Ala". It matches the Rfam family "tRNA". Rfam says of the family: Transfer RNA (tRNA) molecules are approximately 80 nucleotides in length. Their secondary structure includes four short double-helical elements and three loops (D, anti-codon, and T loops). The record is from RNAcentral. Lineage: Bacteria; Candidatus Magasanikiibacteriota.